RNAcentral lists this non-coding RNA (30 nucleotides) under Homo sapiens (human). The record is from RNAcentral. Lineage: Eukaryota; Metazoa; Chordata; Mammalia; Primates; Hominidae.
UGUGGCCUGCAAAGGAAGGUAAGUAGGUGG